RNAcentral lists this transfer RNA (73 nucleotides) under Cricetulus griseus (Chinese hamster). It matches the Rfam family "tRNA". Rfam says of the family: Transfer RNA (tRNA) molecules are approximately 80 nucleotides in length. Lineage: Eukaryota; Metazoa; Chordata; Mammalia; Rodentia; Cricetidae. The record is from Rfam by way of RNAcentral.
GGGGAUGCAGCUUAGUUGGUAGAGUCUUUGCCUACCACACACGAGACCCUGGGUUCCAUCCCCAGCAUCUCCA